GAUGAAGAACGUAGCGAAAUGCGAUAAGUAAUGUGAAUUGCAAAAUUCAGUGAAUCAUCGAAUCUUUGAACGCACAUUGCGCCCUCUGGUAUUCCGGGGGGCAUGCCUGUUCGAGCGUCAUUAUAACCACUCAAGCUCUCGCUUGGUAUUGGGGUUCGCGGUUCCGCGGCCCCUAAAAUCAGUGGCGGUGCCUGUCGGCUCUACGCGUAGUAAUACUCCUCGCGAUUGAGUCCGGUAGGUCUACUUGCCAGCAACCCCCAAUUUUUACAGGUUGACCUCGGAUCAGGUAGGGAUACCCGCUGAACUUAAGCAUAUCAAUAAGCGGAGGA
RNAcentral lists this unclassified non-coding RNA (329 nucleotides) under soil metagenome. RNAcentral describes it as "partial contains 5.8S ribosomal RNA, internal transcribed spacer 2, and large subunit ribosomal RNA". The stretch from base 1 to 120 matches the Rfam family "5.8S ribosomal RNA", at positions 35 to 154 of the family's 154-position model. The record is from RNAcentral.